UUAGACAUAAGAACUUGAGUCUUUCAGAGUGCUCUCUCUCUCUCUCUCCUCUUUCUCUCUGGUGGUGCGUAAGUCAUUUUCUCUACAAUCCACCUCCAGUAGGAGCUUGUGCUAUAUAAGUAUGUUUUAAGCUUGUAUUUGCUUAUGUAUGAUGCGUGUGAUUAUUUUAUGAAGUUUAUAAAAUAUGAAUCCUUUGGUGUUUGUAUAUUCUGAUUUUCUAUCCAUACUUUAUUUGUGGUAUCUUCUAUUUAAGUGUGUUAUCUUCUAUUUAAGUGUUUCAUCUUCCAUUUGUUAUUUAUCUUCCAUUUUUGUCUUUUGUGUUUGUAUAUUUUGAUCUUCUAUCCAUACUUUAUUUGUGUUAUCUUCCAUGUAAGUGUGUUAUCUUCCAUUUAAGUGUUUUAUCUUCCAUUUAUUAUUAACCUUCCAUUUUUUCAAACAUACUAGAUCUGUGAUGGUCAAAACAUCACACGGAACAGCAACGGACGAUCGGGUCCAAUCAAUAAACCACCAUAGGCAUAGCAAG
This 523-nucleotide long non-coding RNA is filed under the name Amborella trichopoda. RNAcentral describes it as "long non-coding RNA (ATRI_LNC001243)". The record is from RNAcentral. Lineage: Eukaryota; Viridiplantae; Streptophyta; Magnoliopsida; Amborellales; Amborellaceae.